Grammomys surdaster is the source of this 218-nucleotide long non-coding RNA. RefSeq lists it as uncharacterized. The record is from RefSeq and is a predicted model, not a curated record. The transcript is spliced from 3 exons. NCBI's taxonomy places the organism in Eukaryota, Metazoa, Chordata, Mammalia, Rodentia, Muridae.
CAUCAAAAAAUGACACCAUGAAGUUUGCAAGCAAAUGGAUGGAACCAGAAGAAAAUCAUUCUGGGUACUUGGAAGUCACUAAUCUGCUUUCUGCUCAUAUAAUUUUGAUCACUCAACUGCCUUACGGAUUGAGCCCAGGCCUUUAAGGAUACCAAUCUUUCUGUCUCUGUCACACCACUACACUUUUUGCUAUAUGAACUAAUUUAUUUUUGGACCCC